AUUUACAAUUACACGGCACACCCUAAUGUUUUCACAAACUGCUUUUCCUGCUAUAUGUAACAUAGAUGAAGUAGCAGAAAUAGGCAGUUCCAUGUGCCCCCAACCCAAAGUGCUACCUCAGGUGCAAAAUCUUUUAUCUUUUAUUCCACAAGUGAAAGGACUCUUAAGUUUGCCUAAUAGAUUGCUUAUUCACCAUAGCCCUUGUCAUAUGUG
This 213-nucleotide unclassified non-coding RNA is filed under the name Hevea brasiliensis (rubber tree). Lineage: Eukaryota; Viridiplantae; Streptophyta; Magnoliopsida; Malpighiales; Euphorbiaceae. The record is from RNAcentral.